AAUUACUCCCAGUGAGGUCUAAAGCACUGUUCAGGGGGUGCUGUGAACUUAUCAUUAAAGCCAGCUGUGACCUCACUGAACGUUUCCCUUUGUGUCUCACAACACAAGGGGGUAGUCACAGCCUGCCCUCUAAAGACAACUCUCUUCCUCCACACAAAACUACAAGCACCUAAUAACACACACACCCUUCACUCAAAAAAUUUUAAAAUCAUGGCGACUCCUACACCAGCCUCGGAGUCCCCAUCUGGGGAGGGGACCAUAAAAUUAAUGUCCCCAGGUCGGACUGCCUUUCCGUCUACGACCCUAAGUGUCUUGACACCCCCCUCAACUUUUUCUUCAUUAACUUCUGCAACAUUCACGGUCUAAGAUCUAAUUUUCAAUCUGUAGAACACCACCUCUCCUCUUCUAAACCUCAUUUUCUUUUCCUCACUGAAACUCAGGUGUCUGAGGCAACUGACAGUAGCCCCUUUUCUGUUCCCUCCUACUUUCUCUGUCCUCAUUUUUGUAUCAUUAAAAUGAUAUGUUAACCAUCUAUUAUUUAUUUAUACAAUAUAUUGUUGUUAUCUGUGUUAAAGAAAAUGUAAGUUGUGUUUUGUUGGAAUGGGAGAAGUUUGGUACGCUUCUUUGUGGUGUUUUGUUUCACCCACUACCUGUGAACAUGGUCGGCCUGGCGGGUUGUCUAAGCCGGCCCACCAAUGUACUGUGGGUUGUUGUGUUGGGUGGUCAUCUGUGCUACAGACGGAGAAUGUAGGGACGCCCUGGACCUCAUGUCGGUUGGUGUGUUGGUUGGUCCUCCGUGCUACAGGUUAGUUGUGUUUAUUUACCUGCCAUGUGCUGUGAUUAGUAUAAUUUGGUGAAGGUUACAAAUAGAGGAUGUAUUAGUAAGAUAGGGUAAUGUACAAGGGAUAUAUUGUUGCCAGACAGAGUUGUGAGGACGCCCUGGACUGGAUGAUAGUUGGGGUGACAUGUCAGGUGUGCUACGGGGAUUCGAAGAGUGUCAGUGUGGGCCACUGAAGUGAGUACAUUAUGGGAAUUUAUUGAGUAUUAUGAGUGAUAUACAAGUGAAGUUAGUUGGAUUUUGUAUACUGAUUGUUGCUUUAUUUUUAUAUUUGGGGAUAUGAUUGUAACGGAUGUCAGAAUCUCUACAUGAAGUGUUAUUUUCUUGGUACCAUUGUGAGGGAUUGAACUGGGUGUACUAUGAUAUGUGGAUGUGUAUUGAUUUGCCCAUGUUUGCAGGUCGAAACACUUCAAGCAAUAAACACCUGUUACGA
Scylla paramamosain (green mud crab) is the source of this 1271-nucleotide long non-coding RNA. RefSeq lists it as uncharacterized. The transcript has 2 exons. Lineage: Eukaryota; Metazoa; Arthropoda; Malacostraca; Decapoda; Portunidae. The record is from RefSeq and is a predicted model, not a curated record.